AAAUCUCUGUAUACUUUUCCCCUCCUGCCCCUAGAACCUUGUUUUUUUAGGAAUCAGAACUCAGGCCAUGUUGGGACAACCUUUCUCUUUUGUAUAGUCCUCUCCCUCCUGUAGAUGUCACUGUAAUAUAGUUGGGCGCGGGGAUGCCUCAGUGUACUGCCAGCACGUGCGUGUAUUCCUUCUACUGUCCCAUUGUAGGACUUGUUCUUGUAUCUUCGUCACCUGUGUGAGCAUUUUUCUCUGUGUCUUCUGAGCUUUGACUCUUGUUCUUCUUUAAAAUCUGUGGUUCACUGGAUUCACAGAAUUAAUCCUUUGGAUGUCACCAGACUUCAAAGCAUGAAUUUGUUUAGGGCCCAGAUCCAGAAAAACUCUUCUUAUGGAUCAUUUCUGAGUUAGU
This 397-nucleotide long non-coding RNA is filed under the name Bos taurus (domestic cattle). RNAcentral describes it as "long non-coding RNA NONBTAT024899". The record is from RNAcentral. Lineage: Eukaryota; Metazoa; Chordata; Mammalia; Artiodactyla; Bovidae.